GACGAACGCUGGCGGCGUGCCUAAUACAUGCAAGUCGAGCGAUGAAGGAGAUACUUGUAUCCUUUGAAGAGCGGCGAACGGGUGAGUAACGCGUGGGGAAUCUGCCAAUGAGUGGGGGACAACAUUUGGAAACGAAUGCUAACACAGCAUAAAAUCUAGUGAGACAUCUCAAGAGAUUGAAAGGAACAAUUGUUUCGCUCGUUGGUGAUCCCGCGUUGUAUUAGCUAGUUGGUGAGGUAAGGGCUCACCAAGGCGAUGAUACAUAGCCGACCUGAGAGGGUGAUCGGCCACAUUGGGACUGAGACACGGCCCAAACUCCUACGGGAGGCAGCAGUAGGGAAUCUUCGGCAAGGGACGAAAGUCUGACCGAGCAACGCCGCGUGAGUGAAGAAGGUUUUCGGAUCGUAAAGCUCUGUUGUUGUUAAAGAACGUUGAUGAGAGUGGAAAGUUCAUCAAGUGACGGUAAACAACCAGAAAGGGACGGCUAACUACGUGCCAGCCGCCGCCGUAA
Molecule: ribosomal RNA, 511 nt
Filed under: uncultured bacterium
Lineage: Bacteria
Description: partial 16S ribosomal RNA
Rfam family: Bacterial small subunit ribosomal RNA
Source: RNAcentral